GCGGGAAUAGCUCAGUGGUAGAGCACCUCCUUGCCAAGGAGGGGGUCGCGAGUUCGAAUCUCGUUUCCCGCU
This 72-nucleotide transfer RNA is filed under the name Candidatus Melainabacteria bacterium GWA2_34_9. RNAcentral's name for it is "tRNA-Gly". It matches the Rfam family "tRNA". Rfam says of the family: Transfer RNA (tRNA) molecules are approximately 80 nucleotides in length. Their secondary structure includes four short double-helical elements and three loops (D, anti-codon, and T loops). RNAcentral also lists the same sequence under 2 other names. Lineage: Bacteria; Bacillati; Candidatus Melainabacteria. The record is from RNAcentral.